RNAcentral lists this unclassified non-coding RNA (500 nucleotides) under Hevea brasiliensis (rubber tree). The record is from RNAcentral. Lineage: Eukaryota; Viridiplantae; Streptophyta; Magnoliopsida; Malpighiales; Euphorbiaceae.
CUCAAAUUUUGGGGGAAAAAAAAAAAAAAGAAAAAGAACGCACCGAGAGGAGGUGCGUGCGAGAUCUACCUGAAAUGCUCUGGUUCCUCACUCUUCCGGGAAUGCUUCAGAUCUUUUUCCUCAACCCUAUUGUCUCCAUUUCUAGAUCUCUAAAACCAGCGCUCUAACUACUACAAGACUAAUUCGGAGUAGAAAAUAAUAUUUACUUGUAGUUUUGACAAAUAGAGCAGAGAAGAUGUAUAUGUCAUAUGGAUGGCCUCAGGUGAUCCCUCUGGAUUCAGGACUCCGUCCUUCUUCACAGAAGAUUAUCUACCUCAAAGUCAUCAACCGCCUCUUGCUUGUCGUCGCCCCUUCUCACCUCGAGCUGUGGAGCUCCUCUCAGCAUAAAGUGAGGUUGGGCAAUUACAAGAGGGAUUUGGAGUCUGUGGAGAAAGAGGGCGAGAAUUUACAGGCUGUGUGGAGUCCCGAUGCCAAAUUGAUCGCCAUUCUCACAUCGUCCU